GAGUAAAGAUUUCGGUCGCUUUGGGAGGAGCUCGCUUACUAUCAGCUUGUUGGUAGGGUAAUGGCCUACCAAGGCUAUGACGGUUAGGGGGUGUGAGAGCAUGACCCCCAGCAUUGGCACUGAAACACUGGCCAAACACCUACGGGUGGCUGCAGUCGAGAAUCUUCCACAAUGGGGGAAACCCUGAUGGAGCGAUGCUGCGUGCGGGAUGAAGGCCUUCGGGUUGUAAACCGCUUUUGUAGGGGACGAAAUUUUUGACGGUACCCUUUCGAAUAAGAGGUUGCUAACUCUGUGCCAGCAGCAGCGGUAAUACAGAGACCUCAAGCGUUAUCCGGAUUUACUGGGCGUAAAGCGUCUGUAGGGGGUUUAUUAAGUUCCAAGUAAAAUUUCAAGGCUCAACUUUGAAUUCGCUUGGAAAACUAAUAAACUGGAGUCUAGCAGAGGUGCAUGGAACUUGUGGUGUAGGAGUGAAAUCCGUUGAUAUCACAAGGAACACCAAAGGCGAAGGCAUUGCACUGGGCUAGCACUGACCCUGAGAGACGAAAGCGUGGGGAGCAAAACGGAUUAGAUACCCGUGUAGUCCACGCCCUAAACGAUGAAUGCUAAAUGUUCGGGGAUUCGACCCCCUGGGUGUUACAGCUAACGCGUUAAGCAUUCCGCCUGGGAAGUACGGCCGCAAGGCUAAAACUCAAAGGAAUAGACGGGGAUCCGCACAAGCGGUGGAGCGUCUGGUUUAAUUCGACAGUAAGCGUGGUACCUCACCAGGGUUUGACAUCCCUUGACAGCCUUGGAAAUAAGGUUUCCUUCGGGCAAGGUGACAGGUGCUGCAUGGUCGUCGUCAGUUCGUGCCGUGAGGUGUUCCGUUAAGUCGGGAAACGAACGAAACCCCUAUUGCAUGUUACAAUUUCUCAUGCAAGACUGCCCGGAUAUACUGGGAGGAAGGUGGGGAUGACGUCAGAUCUGCAUGGUCCUUAUACCCUGGGCGACACAGGCGCUACAAUGGCAGAGACAAAGGGUUGCAAAACCGCAAGGUGAAGCUAAUCCCAAAAACUUUGUCUAAGUUCGGAUUGAAGGCUGCAAUUCGCCUUCAUGAAGCUGGAAUCGCUAGUAAUCGUGAAUCAGCCACGUCACGGUGAAUAUGUUCCCGGAUCUUGUACUCACCGCCCGUCACACCAAGAGAGUUGGUAGCUCCCGA
This 1195-nucleotide ribosomal RNA is filed under the name uncultured organism. Its description in RNAcentral is "bacterial SSU rRNA". It matches the Rfam family "Bacterial small subunit ribosomal RNA", at positions 199 to 1424 of the family's 1533-position model. The record is from RNAcentral.